This is an RNA transcript of Hipposideros armiger (great roundleaf bat), 913 nucleotides long. It is a transcript of the gene named suppressor of cytokine signaling 2 pseudogene, with no coding region annotated. The transcript has 3 exons. The record is from RefSeq and is a predicted model, not a curated record. Lineage: Eukaryota; Metazoa; Chordata; Mammalia; Chiroptera; Hipposideridae.
AUGGGGAGCCUGGACGUCACCCCUCACAUGGCAAAACGCCCCUCCCGUCCCUGGUGGAGUCAAAGGACGCGUUUUGGUGUUCCCACUGACUUCCAGGAAGGACGGGAGCUCAGUCAAACAGGUUGGUACUGGGGAAGUGUGACUGUUAAUGAAGCCAAAGAGAAGUUAAAAGAGGCACCAGAAGGAACUUGCUUGAUUAGAGAUAGUUCGCAUUCAGACUACCUACUAACAGUAUCUGUUAAAACGUCAGCUGGACCAACUAAUCUGCAAAUUGAAUACCACGAUGGGAAAUUCAGAUUGGACUCUAUCAUAUGUGUCAAGUCCAAACUUAAACAAUUUGACAGUGUGGUUCAUCUGAUCGACUAAUACAUGCAGACGUGCCAGGAUAAGCGGAGGGCCCAGAAGCCCCCCGGAACGGCACUGUUCACCUUUAUCUGACCAACCUUCUCUACACUUCAGCACCACCUCUGCAGCAUCUGUGUAGACUCACCGUUCACAAAUGUACUGGUGCCAUCUGGGGACUGCCUUUACCAACAAGACUAAAAGAUUACUUGGAAGAAUAUAAAUUCCAGGUAUAAGUGUUUCUCUUUUUCUAAACAUGCCUCACAUUAGAGUAUCUCCGAAUGCAGCUAUAUAAAAGAGAACCAAAACUUGAGUGACUGCUCUGGAUAACUACACGGAAUUCUAAGAACAGCUGAAGUCAAUCUAAUUUAAAUGUGUGAUGAGGUAGCUAGGUAUUUAAAGUUCCCCCAAAUAUUUUCACCUGAGUAAUGCUUCCCUUCCUAAGACUGACCAAGACUAGUUGAUCCUUUUAAGUUAAAAAUUAAAUGUCCCAAGUAAAGGCUGAAGUAACAUUUUAUCAGAAUGCCUGGCCUUUCUGAGGUUCCUUUCUUUUUGGUGGAAGGUCUAGUAG